RNAcentral lists this long non-coding RNA (1204 nucleotides) under Anas platyrhynchos platyrhynchos (common mallard). RNAcentral describes it as "lncRNA (ENSAPLG00000018322.1)". Lineage: Eukaryota; Metazoa; Chordata; Aves; Anseriformes; Anatidae. The record is from RNAcentral.
CAGGUACUUCUACAUGGCUGAAUGCAUUCAUGCAAUGUACCAGCUCAGACAUUAAAUAUACACUCUGCUAAAUGCAUGCCUCUCAUGCAGACUGACUGUAGGUUAUACCAUUUCUCAUUAACUGUGUUGUUUCUAAUUGAGCCUUAGUCAUGGUGCAGCUGGACACCACAUGGCACUUUCUCCGUGAAUGCACUGAAGGCAGAACAAACAGCCCGUGUAGAGAAACCUUCCUGGCUGGGAGGAGAGCCCAUGCUGAUGGGACAGCAUGGAAAAAUGUGGCUGCACUGGAGGCAGCCUUGCUGCUGGCUGUAGAGAUUUGCCCAGCUCACUCUUCUCUGCCAGCACUCCUCUGCUAAGCUUUCAAGUCUCUGCCUACUGCAUUUCAUUCAUUUUUUCACUUUCACUGUCCUGACUGUCAGCUUCUUGGUCAAUCAGCUGUGUACUUUGUGCCAUAAAAAUUCCUCUUAUGCAGAAACUCGUUCCCUGGUUGCAGUUGCCUCCCUUGUAGGGGACAUCCUCCUGUAAUCAUACUACUGCCCAAUGCCAUGGACUUGACUUUCUUCCCCUAAUCUGGCAGUUUUUCUGUGUCAGAGAUGUCUCCUGUUAGAUGUCUGGAAACUCCUGCUCUUUCUGGAAUACCAUAAAGCAUAUGGCCAAUAUCACUAACUAAAACACUCCCUGAAGUACAUCAUUGAAACAAACAAACAAGCAAGCAAACAAACAAACAAAAAAGUAUAUUGAAGCAGCAAUAGUGAACCUAUAAGGGUGAAGAAAGUCAAUACAUGUCAACACUGAGGCAGGGCCUGAGACACAGACACUUUUGUAAAAUGUAGCUUCAUCUUGGACCCAGAAGAUAUUGCUCACAUGUCAUAUAAUCCUCUACAGAGUCAAGAUGAACUGCAAUAAAGGCUUUGAAGUGGUACAUUUUUUGACACAUCACCUGAAAUAUUUGUAUUGGUCACACAGCCACCAUGAUCCUGUCUUAAAAGAGGAAGCAAUGUUCACAUCCGAUGAAGUCAGAUAUUCUGUAUGUUUCGCUUCCUUUACCUCAAUUAGUGUUGCUGUUCAAAUGAGAAGACAUUUCAAAACAAGAAGAGCAUGUAAACAUUUUCACUUGAAGAUGCCAAAGCAAAGUAUGGGAUGAAAAUAUUAUGAGAGCCAGCAUUCUUCUACCAGAAAAAAUAAAUAAAUAAAAUAAAAUACA